RNAcentral lists this long non-coding RNA (674 nucleotides) under Ursus americanus (American black bear). RNAcentral's name for it is "lncRNA (ENSUAMG00000007058.1)". Lineage: Eukaryota; Metazoa; Chordata; Mammalia; Carnivora; Ursidae. The record is from RNAcentral.
AACUAGAAAGGCAGGUGUACUGGCCCAGAAUGCAAGUCUGCGAUCGAAGGUUUCACAGGUAGAGCCUUUCUUGGUACAGAUAUACUCCAGGGCCUGGGCGUGGGUGGCGCUGGUAGGUCUUUCUUCGGGCCUUGUUCUGCAGUAGUCCCUGCAGCUCGGGGUCAUGUCCACAGGCAACUUGCUGUUGAGCUCACAAGCCCAUGCUGAGUUUGCUGGGGAUAACGAAGUAACUACCAAUAUUUUUUUGUCUCCCUUCACACCAGAUCCCAGUGAUUUCAUAGCUGCUUUGGAAAAGAACUGAGGAUAAAUAUGACAUUUCUUCUUGAAGUCCUGCAAUGCUGCUUUGGGCAAGACUCAGCAAUUUUCUGUGUGUUUCUGUGUGACGGAAGAGGACCCAGCAGACUGAGUCAUCAAGAGUGCGUCAAGGGUGGGCAGCACUUGCAGUCAGAUCCAUGAAGACCCACAUCUUUCUGUAGAUGAGUCCUUUUCCUUGGGAAAUUACAAUUCUGAGAGGUCCCCAAAGCACCAUGGAAGUUUGAAUUAAAAAAAGGCGUAAGUUUAAUGAAAAAGUUCUUCUUUACAUUUGUCUUCGUGACAGUUGUUGCUGCUUGGUAGAACUAGAUGAAGUAUAAAGGGGGAUGGAUAGGACCAUUGUCAGGAGUUGCAGAUGGGUG